RNAcentral lists this long non-coding RNA (237 nucleotides) under Ursus maritimus (polar bear). RNAcentral describes it as "lncRNA (ENSUMAG00000018141.1)". The record is from RNAcentral. Lineage: Eukaryota; Metazoa; Chordata; Mammalia; Carnivora; Ursidae.
GCCGCCGCCACCCCCUCCCGCCCUGUUCUCUCUUUGGUCGGGCCGGGCCCGGCCGGUUCCACGAGCGCCCGGCAGAGACUGAGGGAGAGAGAGAGAAAGAGGAGGGGAGGAGGAGGAGGAUUCAGGGAAUAGGAGCUGGGGAGCCCUUCUGCGCCACAGAAAAUUUCCAAAGACUUGGUGAAGAUAGGAAAACUAUCAGAAAGGCAGUGGCACCAUUAUCCUGUAGUCACUUUUUUU